Molecule: unclassified non-coding RNA, 266 nt
Filed under: uncultured fungus
Lineage: Eukaryota; Fungi
Description: partial contains 5.8S ribosomal RNA, internal transcribed spacer 2, and large subunit ribosomal RNA
Source: RNAcentral
AACGCACAUGGCGCCUUCCAGUAUCCUGGGAGGCAUGCCUGUCCGAGCGUCGUUUCAACCCUCGAGCCCCCGUGGCCCGGCGUUGGGGAUCUGCCCAGGCAGGCCCCUAAAACCAGUGGCGGACCCGUUACAGGCCCUUCCUUUGCGUAGUAGCAUCAGCCUCGCAUCGGGAGCCGGCGGGCUUCUGGCCUCUAAACCCCCAUCAAGUCCGCUCCGGCGGCACCAAGGUUGACCUCGGAUCAGGUAGGAAUACCCGCUGAACUUAA